CCCCCUCAGAUUCUAGAUUUUCAAAUAGUUGUAUCUCAGCCAAAUAUUGUCCACCUAACAACCCAUACAUCAAUGGAAAGCUUAUUUAUUUAGCUUUCAUAUGAUGUUUAAAUCUUAAUUUCAAAAAAAUUGACCCUUAUGACUGGUUUUGUGGUCCAGGGUCACAUAUAUUACUAGCAUAUUGGCUGUUUAUUAGUACUUUGUGUUUUUUGUUAUUUCUGUUUUUGUGAAUGUUUUAUUUCAGUUUUAGUUAUAAAGUUAUAGUUUAGUUAUAUAGUUUUAACUAUAAUAACCCUGGGCUGUUCAGUUGAUUUGAACAUUUCGACACACUUACGGUGUCCAAAAAUGCUAUCAAGGUAGCCUUGAGAGCUUUUCCACACUAUAAAGCACAAUAGGUUUUGAAGCACAGUCUGUUUAUUGCUCAGUUGUGUUGUCUGUUGUGUGUCAGUGUAAAUUUCAAAAGGACGAGCUGUGUGAUCUGUGAGAGGUGGUGCAGCGAUGGCAGCAGGAGGUGCAGGAGCAGAAGGAGAGCCGGGUAAAGGAGGUGCAGGCCCUUAAGGAAGAGCUGCAGAGCACACAAAGUUGUCUGCAGCAGCACAGAGAUACAGCCCACAGACAGCAGAGAGACACGGAGGAUGAGGAUACAGAGUUGAUUCAACUAAAGGCAGGUCUGCUGGAGGCUGAGAAACUAGACACAGAGGCACGACUGCAACCUCUUACCGAAUCCCUAGAGCUCUGCCAACACAAGUACCAGGCCUGCCUCAGCAAGAUCACACAACAAGAGAACACUCUGCAUAGCCACGAGGAGGACCUGAAAGAGGCCCACAAUCAGGUGGCAAAGAGGGAAGAGCAGGUCCUCCGUCUGAGGGCUCAGGUUGUAGCUCAGCAGGUACACUGCGCCCAGCUGGAGAGUGGAGACGAUGCCCUCACCGCUCUGAGCCAGCAGCUCCGAGACACGCUGGGAGAACUGGAGCACAGUCGUAAACACAGCCAGGAGUGUGAGCUGCUCAUCAGCACUCUCAGAGACACUGCUGCUACCCGUCUCUGACAGAGGUGCAGCGACUGCAGGAGCAGGUGAGAAAGCUCCAGGUGGAUGCAGCAGAUGAGGGCUGGAGACAAGCACAAGUUGAUUCUCUGGAACAGAAGGUAGCUAGUCUGGAAGGAGAACUACUGGCAGCUCAAAGGCAGUGUGACCAGGCUAUCCAAAAGAGAGACGCCCUACUUAGACAAUCCGAGGCUGAUCUUCUGCAGGCGUGGGAGAAGAUCCGAAGCAAGGCGGCGGAGGCAGAGAGACAGGCCGUCUCUGCUCGAGGGCUAGAAGCUGAUCUGUAGAAACCCAAGAAAGAGAAAAGGCGAAGGGAGAAAGAGUGCGCCUCACUCAAAACACAGAUGCUUCAGCUCAGAGAACAACUGAAGGAGGCUUACACCACCCGUAGAGACAUGGCAGUCUCCUGUCUGAAAUGAAACAGCCCAUCAAUUCAGAGCCUCAAGACAUCAGCUGCAUGCACAUCUUCACACACACCACUGUGGGAAUGAUGCUCGUUAGAAACAAUAUCCUCAGCACAGAUGAAGACGGGCAGAUGUGGCCAAGGAGCUGACGCAGCAGCAGGAGAAAGUGCAGCUGUUGGAGAGAGGCCAGUGUCUGGCUCAGGAGCAGCUCUCAGAGAGAAAGCUCAGAGGAGACUCCAGGCAGAGCUCAAGAGAAUAACAGACAGUCUGGAAAGCACCCACCAGGAGCUACAGGACUCACGGAGGCUGCUGGAGCGUGUGAAGACAGAGGCCAGCAGCAGCAGACAGGAAGCCCUGAGACUCCGGCAGGAGAAACAGCAGAUCCAGGAAGAGCUGGAUGUCAACAGAGAGACCCUCUCAGCCCUGAAGACUAAAGCCGGGUGUGUGAGGGGCGACUGGUGGAGCUGCACACCCAGCAGCAGAUGACAGCCCUGCAGGCCAGAGACGAGGAAGUGCUCAUGCUAAAGAUGUGACAGCUCCUGACUUCACAGGGAAAGCAAGCUUGUCGUGACCAACGUGAACCAGUGGAUGAAGGAGCAAAGUGAAGAAAGAGGCAGAGGAAGAAGAAAGCACUUCCUGACCACCUGCAGCGCAAGUCUGUGCCAGUCAAUGCCUGUGUCUGGAUCGAAGUCAAUGACUACAGAACGGUUUUCUGCAAACCAGCUGUCUCUUGGAUCACUGACACGAUGAGUUCUAGAAAAACAUGAUUAUCAAAUGAUGGCUGAUAAUUGACCUUACUACAGAUAAAUGACUGACAGCCCAAAUAACAAAUCAAAUCAAUUCUCAGACUUUUGUCUGUCAAACAAAAGUCGCCUGCACUUAACCAACUAAUACUAGUACUUACCUUUUUUUCUUUUUCUUUUCUAUCAUAUUCCAAAAAAAAAAACGAACAAAAAAAAAAACCCUGGCUACGUGUUCUGUACUAGACUAACUGAGACUUGUCAUAGCACUUGUAUACCGUUGUUGUUUUCUCGUUGAUCUGAUUGUUUCUACUGUUCUCAUUUGUAAGUCGCUUUGGAUAAAAGCGUCUGCUAAAUGAUUAAAUGUAAAUGUAAAUGUAAAUGUAAAUGUAAACUGACUGAAUUGUAGAUUGCAUGAACAACUAAACUUCUGAAUGAUUGUCCAAAAGCGAAACAUCUCUAUGUUUGCUCAAAGGAAUAGUAGAAUAUAGAUUUUCAAGGUUAAAGGCAGGUGCACAGACCCCAAGUAGAUCAUGCAUGUGAAUUUUGAUCUUUCUGUUGUUAAUGCCAUGCUAUACUGUCUGAGCUUCAGAAAAGCACAUAAAAAAUCUAUCUUUAAAAUUUGGAAAAAAAAUAUUUAAAACAAUGUUUAUAAUAUUCACAUUUUGUAAAAAGCAGAUGUUUUAAAAAAUAUGUUAUGAGUUUUUUUGUUGUUGUUUUGUUUUGUUUUAUCAUAUGUUCUCAUGUUUACUUUUUUGUAAUGUGUGAAAAGUAUUAAUGUUAAAGGUUUACUAUUUAUCCCUGAUUUUUUUCUCAGAGUGUGAUUUUGGGUUAAUUGUAUUGAUUUAAUUUAGGAUCAAUUGACUCAGAACGUAAUUAUAUCCAGAAUUUUAACAUUAUACAAGUGAUAAAUAGCACUUGUUGUUCUUAAGGACAUUUACAUUCAUAGAAAAACACACACAAAAUGCAUUUGUCCUGUUUGCAUCUGCAGAAAGCAUCCAUUACAUAAUUUUCCUGUUUAUUAAUGUCAGUAUUUAUGACAACAACUGUCUGACUUCUUUACACUUGGCUAGAUUUUCCCUGGUAAUGUCACUAUUUUCUCAUCUUCUACCAUUAUAUUUAGUAUUUCGGCAUAAUAACCUGGAACAAAACCCUGUGCUUUCUGUUUUUUCUGCACAAUGAUUUGAGGUAUUUUAUUCCAAAGUCAUCAGGUGCAUCAUUCGCAUGUACAUCACCUGUUUGAGAAGCAGCGGCAGUGGUUAAGUUAUUGCUGUCGUAAGGUCAGUUGGGUCACUAUACCUUGUUGAUAACUCUUAAACCAGUCUAAGAUGGUUUGCAUGGUCUAAGUUGAUUUAUGAUUAUCUCUCAGCCUGACCAGAUUGCAUGAACAACUAAACUUCUGAAUUAUUGUCCAAAAGCUAAACAUCUCUAUGUUUGCUCAAAGGAAUAGUAGAAUAUAGAUUUUCAAGGUUAAAGGCAGGUGCAGGUCAACUGGUCUCUUCAAGCCUGACCAGCCAAAAAAUAGCUAAAACCAAACUAGGAGACCAGUUAAGACUUUCUUGGUCAAGCAGCUUCACCGGCACUAGAGCAACAAAGAGCAUAAACAAACCUGAACCAGCAUGAGAAUUCAUGACUAAACUGAACUAUUUAUCUGGAUACUCGUCUUAGAAAUGAUGAGAUCUCAUAUGUUGAUGAGACCUGAUUAUUUUCUGAAUAGCUCUGCACUAAGUAUCUGAUGCCCCUCGUGUUCAUUUAUAUACAGACAUCAGCUGCUGAUUUAUUUUUCUCUUUCAAAUUAAAUUUGCUGACAUGCAAUACUUCAUAUUUAAUGAACAUUCCGCUGUGAAUUUUGUGCCUAGUUACAUUUCAAGUUUACGGAGAUGAAUGAGAGUGUGAAUUCUAAUGGCAGGUAAAGUUUCAAUUCUGCUUCUGUCAUAGAUUGUGGUUUACAAAAGUUAAAGGUAAGGCUUGUAUUUGUUUAUGAAUCAAUCAUAUAAUAAUGCCUCAUAUCAGUCAGCCAGCAACAUUAAUAGCACUUUUAAAUGAUUAAAUAAUGCUGUGCCUUAUUCACUGUCAUCAUGCAUUUCCUAUAAACACAAAUCAGUCAAUAAAAGUGAUAUAUGUUUGUAUUUGGCAGCUUUUUUAACUAGUAAGGAUUAAAUGAAAUCAUUUCAGUAGAUGACUAUGAAGACAGUAGCAAAAGCAGAAAAAAAAAUGUCCUUACAUGUCAAGCGCAUGCUGUAAUAUUUCUGUUUCUGAUCACGAUGCUAUUUCGAAUAUUAUCCUCUUGCACAUAUGCAUGUGGAGAGCUUGUUGGUGAAUGAGAGCUUGAAGUGUUCUGAGUCAAUGAGAGUUGAACCCCAAGUGACAAGUUGUGAAAUCAAUAGACAACAGUCAAUACCCAACACUUAAGGUGCCUGUAGAAACUAAAGGAUGCCAAUAAUUGUUAUUAAUACUCCGGUUUUCCCAGAGCACUGUUUAAGGGCAAUUCUAGUGAAACAGACUUCUCAAACACAAUGGUGCCCUGAAGCUAUGCAACCAUAAUCACAUUCAAAACAAGGUUGUGAUAAUGUUGCAAAUAAUGAGGAAGGACUGUGAACAGCAAUGAACAGUAGCGUAAAUAAGUGG
This is a long non-coding RNA of Cyprinus carpio carpio, 4817 nucleotides long. NCBI's taxonomy places the organism in Eukaryota, Metazoa, Chordata, Actinopteri, Cypriniformes, Cyprinidae. The record is from Ensembl.